This 2127-nucleotide ribosomal RNA is filed under the name Pyrgodesmidae sp. QY-2009. RNAcentral's name for it is "partial 28S ribosomal RNA". It matches the Rfam family "Eukaryotic large subunit ribosomal RNA". The record is from RNAcentral. Lineage: Eukaryota; Metazoa; Arthropoda; Diplopoda; Polydesmida; Pyrgodesmidae.
UAACAAGGAUUCCCCUAGUAACUGCGAGUGAAGAGGGAAGAGCCCAGCACCGAAGCCCCUGUCAUUUUGGCAGGGUGCAAUGUGGUGUUCGGGAGAGGUCAAUCUCGCGGAGAGCCUCGGUGUCCAAGUCCCCCUGACUGGGGCCAUUGCCCGCUGGGGGUGCAAGGCCUGUUGGGCAGGGCUGGGUCUCCUGAUCUCCGCUGAGUACGGCCUCUUCCUUGGAGUCGGGUUGCUUGAGAGUGCAGCCCAAAGUGGGUGGUAAACUCCACCUAAGGCUAAAUACUUGCCACGAGACCGAUAGCAAACAAGUACCGUGAGGGAAAGUUGCAAAGAACUUUGAAGAGAGAGUUCAAGAGUGCGUGAAACCGUUUGGAGGUAAACGGGUGGGAGCGCGAAGGUCGAACGGAUGGUGGAGGGAUUCAACUUGUGCGCGGCGGUCGCCUUGGCUGUGCGGCGUGAGCGGGGGCCAGCGCCUUCUCCCCUUGUUGGGAGGGGGUGACGUCUCGCUCCGUUCUGCCAGCUGAGAAGACGGUCCGCCGUGCCUUGUGCAUUUCCCAUUUCCCCCUCUCCUAGUAGGACGCCGCGACCGGCUGUUGUGUUUCGGGCCCAGGAGCUGGGUGGAGCAGCUGCGCGGACGAGUUAUGGGAUUCGUUCCCUGCGUCCGGUCUGUCUGUCUCCGCCCGACUGCAGUUGGCCCGCCACGGCCGAGGAACUUUGACGGCGAGUCGAGUUCAACCCUCACCGGUUGGAUUCCUCGUCCUGUCGUCGCGCCCUUCGAUUUAGGCGGUGCGGGUCGAAAGAUCCCAACGGGGUGGCGGUAGAUGAGCGUGCGCCGGUCCUUAGUGGCCGCGUCGUGCGUUCUGUCUUGCGUCAGCCUCCGUCUGUCAGGGUGCGGACUCCCGCAAUGGGGCGCUGGGGGUCGGCGGCGAGUAGGUCGGUUUCCCACCCGACCCGUCUUGAAACACGGACCAAGAAGUCUAACGCGUGGGCGAGUCUUCGGGGGCACUGCUAACCCCAGAUCGGGUGCGGUCCUCCGCCACUCAGUUUCGGCUGGGUGGAGGAGGCCGUGUUUAAGCCCGUGGAAGGCGCAAUGAAAGUGAAGGCGUGCGCCAGGUGGUCUCCCCUGAGCUGGGCACCUUUCGGGGUGCUCUGUCUUGGUUGGUGGACUCGCCUGGUGUCGCUGCGGUGGGAUCCCCGUCCUUUAAUGGCGGCGGCGCACCACCGGCCCGUCCUACGGUCGCUUCGCCGACCGGGCGGAGCUAGAGCCCACGCGUUGGGACCCGAAAGAUGGUGAACUAUGCCUGGGCAGGACGAGGCCAGAGGAAACUCUGGUGGAAGUCCGCAGCGGUUCUGACGUGCAAAUCGAUCGUCGGACCUGGGUAUAGGGGCGAAAGACUAAUCGAACCNNNNNNNNNNNNNNNNNNNNNNNNNNNNNNNNNNNNNNNNNNNNNNNNNNNNNNNNNNNNNNNNNNNNNNNNNNNNNNNNNNNNNNNNNNNNNNNNNNNNGCCAAGUCGAUUGGAUUGUUUCACCCACUAAUAGGGAACGUGAGCUGGGUUUAGACCGUCGUGAGACAGGUUAGUUUUACCCUACUGAUAACUCGUCACUGCGAUAGUAAUCCUGCUCAGUACGAGAGGAACCGCAGGUUCGGACAAUUGGUACUUGUGCUUGGCCGAGCGGCCAGUGGUGCGAAGCUACCAUCCGUGGGAUUACGACUGAAAGCCUCUAAGUCGGAAUCCCUUCUAGACAUGUGCAGUGAUAUCGCGUGUGCCUCGUGUGCCUUUGGGUGGCAACGCCAGGCGGUGGCGGUGUAUUUCCCGCGCGGAGCGGUCCUUGGCUCUCUGCUGCGUCGGGCCUCCUCCCCUCACCCUCUUGGGGGUGCUGGGUGGGGGGGUUUCGGCCAGCAAGCGUCUUGGUCGUAGUCGUUCGGGCGCCGUCUCGCCAGUGAAGCCUCACCCCGGAGGAGAGAACUUUAGCAUGCGGUGGUGAAUAGACCAAUAUAACCCUUACCGCAUCCACCUCUCGUGCGGGAAACCGUCCUUGCAAUGCAGAGGCGUUAAAUCGUCUGUAGACGACCCAAGUACUGGUCGGGGUGUCGUAAGUAGUAGAGCAGCCCCCACACUGCGAUC